UAUUUAUAUUCUAACUGAAUCUUUUAUCAACUCACAUUUUUCUGUUUGUUCUGGGAAUCCAUCAGGCAGCACUCAUUAUUAUACAAUCAUAUAGACGACAAUAAACAUUGGGAAUUCUUCUUAGCAUCAUAUGGAAUUCAUUAUCUAGUACUCACGAACUGUUCAUUGUUUGGUUGAAUGGAACUCCAACAUCGAAAUAUUGGAUGGGGGAAACAAUCAUGGCAAUAUUAUGAAAUAAAGGUUUAUGUCAAGUCUUUUUUUUCAAGUGUUUUUGUGGAGUAAUGGUGACCUACAUUGUGAUGUAUAUUUUCUCUAUUAUUUGGUAUGACUUUUAGUCAGUUACAGAUCUUCUGUAGUUUUAUUUAAUUACAGAUACCAUGAAUAUAUA
Long non-coding RNA from Glycine soja, 388 nucleotides. RefSeq lists it as uncharacterized. The record is from RefSeq and is a predicted model, not a curated record. NCBI's taxonomy places the organism in Eukaryota, Viridiplantae, Streptophyta, Magnoliopsida, Fabales, Fabaceae. The transcript has 3 exons.